RNAcentral lists this ribosomal RNA (243 nucleotides) under uncultured bacterium. RNAcentral's name for it is "partial 16S ribosomal RNA". It matches the Rfam family "Bacterial small subunit ribosomal RNA", at positions 524 to 765 of the family's 1533-position model. The record is from RNAcentral.
UACAGAGGGGGCUAGCGUUGCUCGGAAUCACUGGGCGUAAAGCGCACGUAGGCGGCUUCUUAAGUCAGGGGUGAAAUCCUGGAGCUCAACUCCAGAACUGCCUUUGAUACUGGCGAUCUUGAGUCCGGGAGAGGUGGAGUGGAACUGCGAGUGUAGAGGUGAAAUUCGUAGAUAUUCGCAAGAACACCAGUGGCGAAGGCGGCUCACUGGCCCGGUACUGACGCUGAGGUGCGAAAGCGUGGG